GACGAACGCUGGCGGCAUGCCUAACACAUGCAAGUCGAACGGAGAACUCCUUCGGGGGUUCUUAGUGGCGAACGGGUGAGUAACGCGUAGGCAACCUGCCCUUUGGAUGGGGACAACAUUCCGAAAGGAGUGCUAAUACCGAAUGUGACGAUUUUACCGCAUGGUUUAAUCGUGAAAGAUGGCCUCUACAUGUAAGCUAUCGCCAAAGGAUGGGCCUGCGUCUGAUUAGCUAGUUGGUGGGGUAACGGCUCACCAAGGCGACGAUCAGUAGCCGGUCUGAGAGGAUGAACGGCCACAUUGGGACUGAGAUACGGCCCAGACUCCUACGGGAGGCAGCAGUGGGGGAUAUUGCGCAAUGGGGGAAACCCUGACGCAGCAACGCCGCGUGGAUGAUGACGGUACCUUUGGAGGAAGCCCCGGCUAACUACGUG
Molecule: ribosomal RNA, 431 nt
Filed under: uncultured bacterium
Lineage: Bacteria
Description: bacterial SSU rRNA
Rfam family: Bacterial small subunit ribosomal RNA
Source: RNAcentral